UACGUAGGGUGCAAGCGUUGUCCGGAAUUAUUGGGCGUAAAGAGCUCGUAGGCGGUCUGUUGCGUCGGCUGUGGAAACCCGGGGCUCAACCCCGGGCCUGCAGCCGAUACGGGCAGACUAGAGUUCGGCAGGGGAGACUGGAAUUCCUGGUGUAGCGGUGAAAUGCGCAGAUAUCAGGAGGAACACCGGUGGCGAAGGCGGGUCUCUGGGCCGAUACUGACGCUGAGGAGCGAAAGCGUGGGGAGCAAACAGG
Molecule: ribosomal RNA, 253 nt
Filed under: uncultured bacterium
Lineage: Bacteria
Description: partial 16S ribosomal RNA
Rfam family: Bacterial small subunit ribosomal RNA
Source: RNAcentral